AUGGAAGCAGUAAACAUGUCCGCCGCCGCUGAUUGGUCUGGCCUGCCGCAAGACCUCCUGCUCGCCAUCAUGGCGGCGCUGGAUGUCCCCAGCCUCGUCCGUUCCGGCGCCGUCUGCACAUCCUGGCGGGACGCCUACAACACCUUCCGCCUCCCCGCGCUGAAGCAAGCGCCGUGCCUGCUCUACGCCUGCGACGAGUACGGGCCCAACGAUGCCGCCCUGUACUGCCCCUCCACCAACGCCACCUUCCGCGUCCCCUACCCGGGUCCCCCGCACGAGAAGCGGAGCUUCGUAUUCUCAUGUCACGGCUGGGUGUUCGUCACCGACGAGGUCGGCGAUCCGCACCUCCUCAACCCCAUCACCGGCGUCCAAAUGCGCGCUCCCGCCAGUCAAGACGAUCAUGGUCUGCGGUGA
Molecule: ribosomal RNA, 414 nt
Filed under: Triticum aestivum (bread wheat)
Lineage: Eukaryota; Viridiplantae; Streptophyta; Magnoliopsida; Poales; Poaceae
Description: partial small subunit ribosomal RNA
Source: RNAcentral